AUAGGAACGUGUCCGGGAGUGGGGGAUAACUAGCCGAAAGGUUAGCUGAUACCGCAUAUUCUCUACGGAGGAAAGCAGGGGACCAGUAAUGGCCUUGCGCUCGCGGAGUGGCCUAUCUUCGAUUAGCUAGUUGGUGAGGUAAAGGCUUACCAAGGCGACGAUCGAUAGCUGGUCUGAGAGGAUGAUCAGCCACACUGGGACUGAGACACGGCCCAG
Molecule: ribosomal RNA, 216 nt
Filed under: uncultured bacterium
Lineage: Bacteria
Description: partial 16S ribosomal RNA
Rfam family: Bacterial small subunit ribosomal RNA
Source: RNAcentral